RNAcentral lists this ribosomal RNA (274 nucleotides) under uncultured bacterium. Its description in RNAcentral is "partial 16S ribosomal RNA". It matches the Rfam family "Bacterial small subunit ribosomal RNA", at positions 523 to 796 of the family's 1533-position model. The record is from RNAcentral.
AUACGGAGGGUGCAAGCGUUAUUCGGAAUCACUGGGCGUAAAGGACGCGUAGGCGGGUUGGCAAGUCAGAUGUGAAAUCCUACAGCUUAACUGUAGAACUGCAUUUGAAACUGCUAACCUAGAGUAUGAGAGGGGGAGAUGGAAUUAGUGGUGUAGGGGUAAAAUCCGUAGAUAUCACUAGGAAUACCGAAAGCGAAGGCGAUCUCCUGGAACAUAACUGACGCUAAGGCGUGAAAGCGUGGGGAGCAAACAGAAUUAGAAACCCGAGUAGUCC